AUGACUUGUAUCCGAGCUCGUCCCAGGAUGAGGGAAGCCCAGGCAGGAAGCCGCAUCCUUCCGUCGCCAUCACUCACCCCGUAAAUUAAAAUGCAAAAUCAUCUACGGGAUGCUGCUCUGGCUCAUGGUCUGGCCAUGUCUUGUUUGAACUUCUCCAGUGUCAUCUUGUCCCAGCCUCCUCUCACUGGCAGAGUGAUCGUGUGGAGGUGGAAAGUCUUCUGUGUCCCCAGAACCCUCUGUGGCUCCUCAUCUCCUCACCGUCCGCAGGAGGAUCCCUGGUUGCUCAUGGUCUUUGUUUCUCAGAGUUUCUGAAAGCUUGUACUCUCUUUGCUUUUCAUUCUUCCUCUAGAAGAAACACACAGGCCCCAGUUCACUCCUUCAUGUUCUUGACUUGUGGAGAGGGGCUGCUUUUGACCAUAAGGUGUUUCUGGAACUCUCCAUCAUGUGACCCUACACAAUGCCUCUUCUGGGGUGACAUCUAACAGAAACAUCAUCUUCCAGUCUCUUUCUGUCCAAUUAGACUGCAGACACCCCCUUGCCCAGGGCAGUGGCUGGGUUCACUUCACCUCCCCCUCGUAGGUGCCCCAGGAAGGUUUGGAUCGGGUCUGAACUGAAGCACAAGCAUAAAGAGCUCCACGCCAGAGGCGUGUCCCCAUCACUGCAGCACUCCGGCGACACUGCCACUCAUGUCCUACGUUUUUGCUCCGUGUUCUGUUUCUCUGGCUACAUUGUGGGUUGAAAAUGGUCUAUUCACCCUCAUCUGUUGUCAACAAACUGAAGGGCUGUGCUUGUGGAAUAAAUUCAUACAUGAAUGAAUGAAAUAAUUCCAUAUCUCAUUACUUCUUCAGUUUGGUUCCCCAAAUUUAAGUUGCCUUUUUUUUUCCUAAUUGUUGGACUAGCUUAGUAUUAUGUUAAUAUUAUGAUAUUAUACUGUGGUGGCUUUAUAAGUAUAAUUAUGCUCAUAACUGAAAUGCUUUUUUCUCAAACAAAUCUAACUACAUUUUGAUUAUAUAUAUUGAACAUAUAUAGAAAACAACUAUGAAAUAAAAUACAGGCAGAUUUCGUUCUUCUUCAAUAAAAUAGAAUAAUACCCACACACAGGAUGCAGGGCAUCUGGGUUCUCUCCACUCUGGCUCUGUCUAGUUUUGUGGCAAGUUAGUUAACCUCCUCAUGCCUCAGUUUGCUCAACUGUAAAAUGAGGGGAUUAUACUAAAUUGUUAGUGUUAUUUCCUACUUUAAAAUGCUAUUUUUCUCUCUGUGUGGGUUUUUUUUUUUUCAAUUUUAACUUGAUUUUCAAGUUUACUUGACAGUUGUGGAUGUUCUCGAUACCACAUGGGAAUGCUUUCAAACCCAUUGCACUAUGAAAAAUCAUGUGGAACUUUUACUCAAUGCCAAAAACAUCUUAAUUACCUGCUGUCUUUUAGAAUAUUCUUCCCAGCGGACACAUAUUGGCAGGGGGCUGAUGGAGGUAAGAAGCCAAAGAGAAGGAUGAGAAGACAAUUUUCCUAAAACCCCACAUCUGAGAUGCAAUUAUUUUCUGUUGGUUCAUGCAAUUUUAUUCCCCAAACCUGUUUCCCUAAUUAAGCAAAGAAGCCUUUUGGCAAAUACAGAGCACGUAGAAAUGAAAAAUAAUCAGCAUAAAACAGUGUAGGAAGCACCAUUCCAAAUGUAGAGUCCACAUUGGCAAUAUGGCUGCCCCAGAAGGACUCGUGAAACAUGCACAGCUAUGUCUUUCUGGUAAAGCUGGGAGGAUGCCCACUCUAGCUAGAAAGAGAGGUUUUUGGAAUGUUAGUUCAAGUAAAAACACACAGCAUAACAGAUAGGCAUUUAUUUUUCAGCAAACAAGAGUCUAAUUGACUUUAUUGCUUUCCUUGGAAGGCCCAGUAAAUCACAGAAAGUCAGCCACGAGUAAAAAUCCAACAUCAAAUGGAAGGCAUAUAAUAACGUCUUUGGUUGCCCAAAGUAAUACCUAACUAUUGAAGUCAUAUCCUUAUUUUUUUUAAAGUAGAAUAAUAUCUACAUUAAAAAAAAUCUCAUAAAAGGUUAUUUGGUCUCCCUACUGUGGUUUUCCCUUCCAUUUCAUACUCUUUCCCACUUUUGGUUUAAUUCUUAUUCUUUUUAUUUUUUUUAAUUGUGGAAAAAUACACCUAAUCAAAAACUUACCAUUUUUAACUGUUUUCAAGUGUAUAAUUUGGUUCAUUUAAGCACAUUCACUUUGCUGUGCAAUGGUCAACACCACCCAUCAGUUCAUCUCUUCAUACCUUGUCCUUAUUUGGAAGGAUCUGCAGUGAUAUCACGCCCACCCCUCUGCUGCCCUGUCACCUGCUGGAUGAGAAAGUCUGAUGAGUCAAACACUCAGCCUCUUCAGGGUGUGGUUGUGUCC
RNAcentral lists this long non-coding RNA (2383 nucleotides) under Canis lupus familiaris (dog). RNAcentral's name for it is "lncRNA (ENSCAFG00030016762.1)". Lineage: Eukaryota; Metazoa; Chordata; Mammalia; Carnivora; Canidae. The record is from RNAcentral.